This 252-nucleotide ribosomal RNA is filed under the name uncultured bacterium. RNAcentral describes it as "partial 16S ribosomal RNA". It matches the Rfam family "Bacterial small subunit ribosomal RNA", at positions 524 to 776 of the family's 1533-position model. The record is from RNAcentral.
UACGGGGGGGCAAGCGUUGUUCGGAAUUACUGGGCGUAAAGGGCUCGUAGGUGGCCAACUAAGUCAGACGUGAAAUCCCUCGGCUUAACCGGGGAACUGCGUCUGAUACUGGAUGGCUUGAGUUUGGGAGAGGGACGCGGAAUUCCAGGUGUAGCGGUGAAAUGCGUAGAUAUCAGGAGGAACACCGGUGGCGAAGGCGGUUCUCUGGGCAUUACCUGACGCUGAGGAGCGAAAGUGUGGGAGGCGAACAGG